UAGUCCACGCCGUAAACGAUGGUCACUAGCUGUUCGGACUUCGGUCUGAGUGGCUAAGCGAAAGUGAUAAGUGACCCACCUGGGGAGUACGUUCGCAAGAAUGAAACUCAAAGGAAUUGACGGGGGCCCGCACAAGCGGUGGAGCAUGUGGUUUAAUUCGAUGAUACGCGAGGAACCUUACCAGGGCUUAAAUGUAAGUUGCAUUAGGCAGAGAUGCUUAUUUCUUCGGACUACUUACAAGGUGCUGCAUGGUUGUCGUCAGCUCGUGCCGUGAGGUGUCAGGUUAAGUCCUAUAACGAGCGCAACCCCUGUUGUUAGUUGCCAGCAUGUAAAGAUGGGAACUCUAACAAGACUGCCAGUGCAAACUGUGAGGAAGGUGGGGAUGACGUCAAAUCAUCACGGCCCUUACGUCCUGGGCUACACACGUGCUACAAUGGACGGUACAACGGGUAGCGAGCUUGCGAAAGUCAGCCAAUCCCAAAAAGCCGUUCUCAGUUCGGA
This 501-nucleotide ribosomal RNA is filed under the name uncultured bacterium. RNAcentral's name for it is "bacterial SSU rRNA". It matches the Rfam family "Bacterial small subunit ribosomal RNA", at positions 791 to 1297 of the family's 1533-position model. The record is from RNAcentral.